Molecule: unclassified non-coding RNA, 213 nt
Filed under: Hevea brasiliensis (rubber tree)
Lineage: Eukaryota; Viridiplantae; Streptophyta; Magnoliopsida; Malpighiales; Euphorbiaceae
Source: RNAcentral
UUUAACUUUCAUUAAGGUUUAGGCUAUUGGAGCUGAGGAGAAUGGCUGAGAGCUUUGCAUGAUAAUGAUGUCUUCACCUACAAGAUCCUUAAGAGUUGUGUCACUUCCCUGAUCCACAUAGUGUAGCUAAACCUCCUCUCUUCAACCCCCAUGUUCGAUGAGAGGCAUCAGAGACGAUGAAAGAGAAAUAUCCUUUUGAAGUUAAAAAGUCGG